RNAcentral lists this ribosomal RNA (346 nucleotides) under uncultured bacterium. RNAcentral's name for it is "partial 16S ribosomal RNA". It matches the Rfam family "Bacterial small subunit ribosomal RNA", at positions 338 to 698 of the family's 1533-position model. The record is from RNAcentral.
CCUACGGGAGGCAGCAGUGGGGAAUAUUGGGCAAUGGGCGCAAGCCUGACCCAGCAACGCCGCGUGAAGGAAGAAGGCCUUCGGGUUGUAAACUUCUUUUCUGAGGGACGAAGAAAGUGACGGUACCUCAGGAAUAAGCCACGGCUAACUACGUGCCAGCAGCCGGGGGAAUACGUAGGUGGCAAGCGUUGUGCGGAUUUAUUGGGUGUAAAGGGCGUGUAGGCGGGAAGGGAAGUCAGAUGUGAAAACUCAGGGCCAAAGCCUGGGCCUGCCUUUGAAACUGUUUUUCUUGAGUGCUGGAGAGGCAAUAGGAAUGCGGGGUGUAGCGGUGAAAUGCGUAGAUAUA